UCAAACUUUGUUAAUAUUUCCUAUUGGUUGUCAGGGCUUUUCUGGGGAGUGUGAGCAAUCACUGCGCGCAGAAUGUGAAAUGCCCUGUUUUGAUCGUGAAGAUGCCUAAAUCAGCGGCUCCCAGUCCCAACGAAUAAUCUCUGUUUUUCUAUUUUCUUUAGGGAAAUGCUAUGGUACACCCAAUUUGCACCACAAAUACACACCUGAUGAGGCGGUGCAUUUGAAUUGACUGGACGUGGAGUUCACCAAUUCUUUCAGCCAACACUCCGCCAAUUCAAAUGCACCACCUCAUCAUGUGUGCAUUUGAAGUACAAAUUGGGUGGACCAAUAGCAUUACCCAUUUUUUUUAUCCUUUUCCUUUCUUCUGUUUUUGUUUUGUUGUCCAAAUCUUCGAGGGU
Molecule: long non-coding RNA, 398 nt
Filed under: Actinidia chinensis (golden kiwifruit)
Lineage: Eukaryota; Viridiplantae; Streptophyta; Magnoliopsida; Ericales; Actinidiaceae
Description: long non-coding RNA (ACHI_LNC006807)
Source: RNAcentral